UUACAGCUGCUGGCCUAUACCACAGCCACAGCAACGCUGGGUCUAAGCUGCGUCUGCAAUCUACAUUGCAGUUUGUGGCAACACUGGAUCCUUAACCCAGUAAGCACGGCCAGGGAUCGAACCUGCAUCCUCAUGGAUACUAGUUGGGUUCUUAACCCACUGAGCCACAACAGGAACUCCUUAAACUUUUUCUUAAUACUUAAUAAUCAGAACAGUAUUUUACCCCCAAAAUAGAUUUUUAUAUUCUAUGCAGCCAAAGGAACAAAAGGCAUUGCGAGUAAAUCCUUAGACUGUGAACGGCUCAAGGGCCGUGUCAUCUUCAUCUCUGAGUCUCCGAAUCUGCAUAAGACAGAGGAGCACUGUGUGUCUACUGCCCAAUAACUGGCUACUGCUGGCGAGCAUGAAGGUCACAGCAGAGAGCCUGCGGUACUCCAGGGACUCUUCACACCUUUUUUUUUUAAUGUAUAUUAUUUUAUUUUGCCUGCACCCCCCCCCCACUGCCCUGGUGGUGACAACAUUGCUUUUUUAGUUUAGUUUUUUUCAAUGUAUUUUAUUAUUAUUUAUUAUUAUUUUUGAAAAAUUAGCUAGAUUUAUUGCCAAUGAAUUGGUGAAGGUUUAACAUUAUAAACAUCUAAUCUUUAAAGUUAGAUAUUUUCAUCUGUUAGGCUUAUAAAUUGGCAUGUUUCCAAAGGGAAUCUUGUCAUGAAUCAAAGUCUUUAAAAUGUGUUACAAAGCAAGUCUGUAUCUGGGAAUUUAUUGUACGGAAACUACAAAGGAUAUUAACACAGAUUUAGCUAACAGAAUACUCAGUGCAUAGUUGAAAACAUUGCAAGACGGCAGUCACCAAUGACUGUAAUGAUCAUACGGUUUAGAUAAGGAAAUUUUUCCAUAGGAAAGCAUAUAAAAAGAUGUAAUAAAUAUUAAAUACGCAUUCAUGCAUAUCCUUUGUAUUUACUAUGAAGUUCAAAUUCUUUACUGUGUGUUCACACUUUUUCUUUUAUACCCACAGACCUAGAACCUGAGUCACCAAAGUUGGUAAGUUCAGCAGGAAGUGAUAUCGCCAGAAUGAGCGCCCCGCACCUGGACAGGGAGAGAAGCACUGCCUGGACCUGGCCGUCCCAGCCCCAGUCCCUUCCCCUCCCUUCAACCUGGCACCACCCCUCCCGUCCCUCCUCCUUUUCUCUUCCUGCGGGGCUUUGCGUUUAAUCGUGGAAGUCGCACUUUAGUAGGAGGUUCAGAAAAAAAAAUUUUUUUUGUUUCUACACCAAACACAUCUCAAGAAAAGACAAAGGAUUGAUAUUAUUUGCCAGGAGAGGUUGUGGGAGGGGUAAUGGUUUAAGAACCUGAAACUUUUUGCUAUUUUUUUAAAGUUGUAUUGAUACAAUUCACACAUACCUCACCAAUUUGAAGUGUACACAAUGAUUUUCAGUGUGUUCGGAGUUGUGUAUCAUGACCACAGUCAAUUCUAGAACAUUUCACCUCCCCUCCAAAGAAACUGUGCAUAAUCUAACAGUCCCCCACCCUCUCUCUCCUCCAGCGCCUGGCAACUACUAACCUCCUUUCCAUCUCUAGAGAUCUGCCUAUCCUGGACAUUUCACAUAAAUGGAAUCACACAACACGUCAUCUUUUGUGACUGGCCUCUUUUCACUUGGCAUGAUGUUUUUGAGGUUCAUCCAUAUAACAGCACAUAUCAGUACUCCACUCCUUUUUAUUGCUAAGUAAUAUUCCAUUGUAUAGCUAUACCACAACUCAUUUAUACAAUACCAAGUUGAUGGACAUUUGGGUUGUUUCCACUUUUUGGCCAUUAUGAAUAAUGCUGCUAUGGGCAUUUGUGUGAACACAUUUUGUCAUUCCUUUUGGGUACCUAGAAGUAGAAUUUCUAGGCCACAUGGUGACUCUUUUUCACCUUUUGAGGAACUGUUUUUCCAAAGUUAGUUGUUUCCAACAAUUAGCUAGACUGUCUUCCAGGCAGUUUUACAUUCCCACCAGCAGUAUACAAGGGUUCCAAUUCCUCCACUUUCUCACCAACACUUGGUACUGUCUUUUUUAUUAUAACCAUUACAGGGGGUGUGAAGUGCUAUCUCAUUGUGGUUACAAUUUGCAUUUCCCUAAUAACUAAUGUGUGACUUGAAAAUAUUUUCUCCAUUCUGUGAGCUGUCUUUUCACCUUCCUUUUUUUUUUUUUUUGUCUUUUUUUGCCAUUU
Molecule: long non-coding RNA, 2203 nt
Filed under: Sus scrofa (pig)
Lineage: Eukaryota; Metazoa; Chordata; Mammalia; Artiodactyla; Suidae
Description: lncRNA (ENSSSCG00035026590.1)
Source: RNAcentral